Molecule: unclassified non-coding RNA, 166 nt
Filed under: uncultured fungus
Lineage: Eukaryota; Fungi
Description: sequence contains ITS1, 5.8S rRNA gene
Source: RNAcentral
GUGAAUACAAACGCUUGGGUGUCUCUGCUUCGGCAAGCCCCUCGCACCCUUCACAUCCAUAACACCUGUGCACUGUAAGAUGACUCUAAGGCUUCGGCCUCUGGGUUGUCUGACCUUUUUACAAAACAAUUAUAUGUAACAAAUGUAGUCUUAUUAUAACAAAAUA